GGCACUGCCCGGUAGCUAAAUGCGGAAGAGAUAAGUGCUGAAAGCAUCUAAGCACGAAACUUGCCCCGAGAUGAGUUCUCCCUGAGACUAUAAGUCUCCUGAAGGAACGUUGAAGACGACGACGUUGAUAGGCCGGGUGUGUAAGCGCAGCGAUGCGUUGAGCUAACCGGUACUAAUGAACCGUGAGGCUUAACCUUACAA
This 201-nucleotide ribosomal RNA is filed under the name Klebsiella pneumoniae. RNAcentral describes it as "partial 23S ribosomal RNA". It matches the Rfam family "Bacterial large subunit ribosomal RNA", at positions 2734 to 2925 of the family's 2925-position model. Lineage: Bacteria; Pseudomonadati; Pseudomonadota; Gammaproteobacteria; Enterobacterales; Enterobacteriaceae. The record is from RNAcentral.